CAGUAGCCGCGGGAAUACGAAGGGGGCUAGCGUUGUUCGGAAUCACUGGGCGUAAAGCGCACGUAGGCGGAUACUUAAGUCAGGGGUGAAAUCCCGGGGCUCAACCUCGGAACUGCCUUUGAUACUGGGUAUCUUGAGUCCGGGAGAGGUUGGUGGAACUCCGAGUGUAGAGGUGAAAUUCGUAGAUAUUCGGAAGAACACCAGUGGCGAAGGCGGCCAACUGGCCCGGUACUGACGCUGAGGUGCGAAAGCGUGGGGAGCAAACAGGAUUAGAUACCCCAGUAGUCCCUGUCUCUUAUAU
This 301-nucleotide ribosomal RNA is filed under the name uncultured bacterium. RNAcentral's name for it is "partial 16S ribosomal RNA". It matches the Rfam family "Bacterial small subunit ribosomal RNA", at positions 509 to 809 of the family's 1533-position model. The record is from RNAcentral.